Rhipicephalus sanguineus (brown dog tick) is the source of this 306-nucleotide long non-coding RNA. RefSeq lists it as uncharacterized. The record is from RefSeq and is a predicted model, not a curated record. The transcript has 3 exons. Lineage: Eukaryota; Metazoa; Arthropoda; Arachnida; Ixodida; Ixodidae.
UGGACCAACUGAUGCUCCUCGUUUGCUCGUCGACGGUCUGCUGCCAUUGAACCACUGCGCUUUGUUACAGUUCGUCCAUCAGGAUACCAUCUGGGAUGAUGACCUUCAGGAAAUCCCAAGUUGGCCUUUCAUAUUUGCGAAAGGUGGUGGUUUCCUGACAGCGAAGUACUUCACAGUUUGCAUUGACAACGUUCCUCUUAUGCAAGCAUGCAGUCCUAGAGACGCGUUCAAGAUAUUAUUCCUGGCACACUUUGCGUCAACGUUGCCUACCCAAAAGAGGCAAGUCUUACCCUGGAGUUCACACAU